RNAcentral lists this ribosomal RNA (253 nucleotides) under uncultured bacterium. RNAcentral describes it as "partial 16S ribosomal RNA". It matches the Rfam family "Bacterial small subunit ribosomal RNA", at positions 524 to 776 of the family's 1533-position model. The record is from RNAcentral.
UACGUAGGGAGCGAGCGUUGUCCGGAUUUAUUGGGCGUAAAGAGCUCGUAGGCGGUCUGUCGCGUCUGCUGUGAAAAUCCAGGGCUCAACCCUGGACCUGCAGUGGGUACGGGCAGACUAGAGUGCGGUAGGGGAGAUCGGAAUUCCUGGUGUAGCGGUGAAAUGCGCAGAUAUCAGGAGGAACACCGGUGGCGAAGGCGGAUCUCUGGGCCGUAACUGACGCUGAGGAGCGAAAGCAUGGGGAGCGAACAGG